UCCCAGGAUAGAAUUAGGGAUAGGGAAGCUGGCUAGGGUUAUCAUUAAGGUUUGGAUUUGUUUUAGGUUUAAGACUGGGAGUUAGGUUUAGUGGUUAGGGUGAAUGCCAUUAGGGCUAAUGUUAGUGUUAGGGUCAAAGAGUUGUCACAGAAACCUCAGAGACCUAGAGCUGGCAUAAGGUUGUUAGAGAACCUGAGAGUCAUCACAGAGUCAUCCUAGAGUCUUAUAUUAUGGACAUAAUGUCCUCACAGAGGCAUCCUGAAGUUGUCAUAGUCAUCACAAAUAAAUCAUAAAGUCAUCAUGUAGACCUCAGAGAGUAAUAUAGUAGUCACAGUGCCAUCAUAGAGGUGUCAUAGAUUUGUCAUAGGAUUGUCACAGAGUCACGGAGUGGUCAUAGAGUCAUCAUAGAGGAUAUAAAGAUGCCAUCCAUACCUGCAGAGAUGAGAUCAGGAAAGCACACAUGGAGCUGAGCUAGGUAAAGGAUGUGAAAAAACAAGAAGAGACUCUACAGACGUCAGUGGAAGGAUCUGACAAAACCUGCUGAGGCAAAGACCUGGCCUUGAAUGGAAUUAAACCAACCAGCUGGUUGCUCUGCCACAUCCAAUGUAAACUCAGACACCAAUGUGAUUGUCUUUGGUAGCUCCCGGACAAAUUCCACCUACAUAAAAAAGACAGAAAAUGAUGCAGCAUGAUCUCUGCAGAGCAGCUUUUCCAAGUCUCUCAACAUACAUGGAGAACAAGGAGAUCUCCCAUCAGUAAACACAUUUAGCCUAUAGGAUCAAGUCCAAGCCAAAUAAAGGCAGCAAAGUGUGCAUCUUCUGAA
Molecule: non-coding RNA, 823 nt
Organism: Meleagris gallopavo (turkey)
Lineage: Eukaryota; Metazoa; Chordata; Aves; Galliformes; Phasianidae
Source: RefSeq, a predicted model, not a curated record